RNAcentral lists this ribosomal RNA (497 nucleotides) under uncultured bacterium. Its description in RNAcentral is "partial 16S ribosomal RNA". It matches the Rfam family "Bacterial small subunit ribosomal RNA", at positions 28 to 507 of the family's 1533-position model. The record is from RNAcentral.
GAUGAACGCUGGCGGCGUGCCUAAUACAUGCAAGUCGAGCGAACAGACGAGGAGCUUGCUCCUCUGACGUUAGCGGCGGACGGGUGAGUAACACGUGGAUAACCUACCUAUAAGACUGGGAUAACUUCGGGAAACCGGAGCUAAUACCGGAUAACAUGUUGAACCGCAUGGUUCAACAGUGAAAGACGGUCUUGCUGUCACUUAUAGAUGGAUCCGCGGCGCAUUAGCUAGUUGGUAAGGUAACGGCUUACCAAGGCAACGAUGCGUAGCCGACCUGAGAGGGUGAUCGGCCACACUGGAACUGAGACACGGUCCAGACUCCUACGGGAGGCAGCAGUAGGGAAUCUUCCGCAAUGGGCGAAAGCCUGACGGAGCAACGCCGCGUGAGUGAAGAAGGUCUUCGGAUCGUAAAACUCUGUUAUUAGGGAAGAACAAAUGUGUAAGUAACUAUGCACGUCUUGACGGUACCUAAUCAGAAAGCCACGGCUAACUACGUG